UCAUCCUGUCCUCACAGUGGCUGGUGUGGAGACCCACAGACUUCAUCCUUAGGACGGACCUUCAGGCACCCAGGCUGCCUACUGACCUCCCGGGCAUGGGUGGGAACCGGGAGCUCGUUGGUAAGCAGGAGGAUUCAGGACUAUCGACUGAACACCACCUCCUUUGUGGCACGCACCGUGCUGUGUCUUUGCAGUCAUCAUCUCAUCACCUCUGCACAGGAAGAUUAUCUCCCCCAUUUUGUGAUGGGGAAAUGGAGGCUCCACGUGGAAAGAUGCAACCUGGGCCAGAGGCCCCUGGAGGUUGUGCCUGAACCCAGACAGAUCACACAAACCUGAGCAGCCAUUAGCCGCUGUGUGGGCUCCUUUGCACUGUGGGGCUGCUCCUGGGGAUAUUUACGUUGUGAACUGGUAAAAUCUGAACUGCAGAAUAUCAAUUUCCAGACAUUCUUCCUAGAUGAUGCAGUCUGCCACAGAGACCAUGUAGAUGGAUUGAAUGGGGAUAUGAUGAGGAUGACCACCCCUGCAUUUGCUAAGUUCUUGGGAGUGGCAUCGAUCUCAGCCAUUCCACUGGAAUAGGGUUAGGAAACAAAACAUGAGGGGUCUACCAGCUGCUCAGUCUAUCCUUUCCAAUUGAGCACACUGGAACUGAGGAAGCAAAGACAGGGUGAGCCCUAACACCCUCAUCAUCACUGCUGAGCCUGCCUUGACAAGAACUCCAUUUAUCACCCGCCUCCAUAAUAGCCCAUUCUAACUAGCUGUCAUCAUGGCAUUUCAGGUUCUGCUGAUGUCAUUAUAAUGGACCUUAACUAGUGGGCUGAAGGCAAUGAGGGGAUGUGAGGAUGCAUCUUGUGAAGGACAAAAGUCAUCCU
RNAcentral lists this long non-coding RNA (869 nucleotides) under Pan troglodytes (chimpanzee). Its description in RNAcentral is "lincRNA". The record is from RNAcentral. Lineage: Eukaryota; Metazoa; Chordata; Mammalia; Primates; Hominidae.